AAACAAAAAAAAAAAAAGGAACCUUUUUAUGUCUAGCAAAGCAUAAAGAGCCUCGCUAUUAUCCAUAACAAAUCCCUAUUGCUCAGUCAUUGAACCAUCGCGUCCAGUAACGACCUCCAAGUGACUCCCCCAGAGCAUAUUCUGCCACCCAAUACUGCCCAAAAUUUGAGAUUCAUCUAGGUUAAGUUUGACCUGAAUCACUCUUCAGCUUGAUUUUGGGGUCACAAGCAUUCUCGGAGACUCGUCGCGCGUUAGUGACGUCACUGUCAUUGACAGAAUUCACAUUCGACUUGUUUGUAGUAGGAUUCAACUGGGUUGAGUUAGUUUUGCCUAGGUUGCAUAAUUAUUAAAGGCUCAAGGAGCACUAAGGCCCCAAAAGGUUUUGGAGCCUAGGAGCAAGGCGUAGGUGUGCGCCUGAG
RNAcentral lists this unclassified non-coding RNA (419 nucleotides) under Hevea brasiliensis (rubber tree). Lineage: Eukaryota; Viridiplantae; Streptophyta; Magnoliopsida; Malpighiales; Euphorbiaceae. The record is from RNAcentral.